UGCAUCCGUGAUAAAAAUUUGGCUCCCUCUGCUGAGACAAAUGAAGAUAAUGGCCUUAACUGUCACCCAAAUCUUCUGAGAUGUU
Small nucleolar RNA from Corvus moneduloides (New Caledonian crow), 85 nucleotides. The record is from Ensembl. Lineage: Eukaryota; Metazoa; Chordata; Aves; Passeriformes; Corvidae.